This 318-nucleotide long non-coding RNA is filed under the name Nicotiana benthamiana. RNAcentral's name for it is "long non-coding RNA (NBEN_LNC002781)". Lineage: Eukaryota; Viridiplantae; Streptophyta; Magnoliopsida; Solanales; Solanaceae. The record is from RNAcentral.
GUUGCUUUAGGUUCUCUUCUAAGUGUUUUGAUUCUUCUUUUCGUUUGCUUCUAAGUUUCAUCAAUGUAGAGGCAUGCAUGCCCAUUUAAUCAUAUGUUAGAUUUUCUGGUUAGUGAUUUCUUUUCCACCAUAUGUCUUGGUUUUAAGAUUGAAUGACCUGCUUCUAAAUAGUUUGCUUAAUUCUAAAUUCAUGAGUGUCCCUUAAUAAGCAUGCUCUGAUAUUUCAUUUUUCUGGUCCCAAAAUCGAUUGUUAUCCAUGUGAUUCUGAAGGUAGUGAUAAUCUGUUCCAUCUUUGUUGCUGAGUAAUGUAAAGUCCAC